This 253-nucleotide ribosomal RNA is filed under the name uncultured bacterium. RNAcentral's name for it is "partial 16S ribosomal RNA". It matches the Rfam family "Bacterial small subunit ribosomal RNA", at positions 524 to 776 of the family's 1533-position model. The record is from RNAcentral.
UACGGAGGGUGCAAGCGUUAUCCGGAUUUACUGGGUUUAAAGGGUGCGUAGGCGGGCAGGUAAGUCAGUGGUGAAAUCCCCGAGCUUAACUCGGGAACUGCCGUUGAUACUAUCUGUCUUGAAUAUAGUGGAGGUAAGCGGAAUAUGUCAUGUAGCGGUGAAAUGCUUAGAUAUGACAUAGAACACCAAUUGCGAAGGCAGCUUGCUACACUAUUAUUGACGCUGAGGCACGAAAGCGUGGGGAGCGAACAGG